This 494-nucleotide ribosomal RNA is filed under the name uncultured bacterium. RNAcentral describes it as "partial 16S ribosomal RNA". It matches the Rfam family "Bacterial small subunit ribosomal RNA", at positions 28 to 507 of the family's 1533-position model. The record is from RNAcentral.
GACGAACGCUGGCGGCGUGCUUAACACAUGCAAGUCGAACGGUGAAGCGCCUUCCUUUUUGGUGGGUGUGGAUGAGUGGCGAACGGGUGGGUAACACGUGAGUAACCUGCCCCCUUCUUCUGGAUAACCGCAUGAAAGUGUGGCUAAUACGGGAUAUUCUGGGUCUGUCGCAUGAUGGGUCUGGGAAAGAUAUUGUUUCGGUGGGGGAUGGGCUCGCGGCCUAUCAGCUUGUUGGUGGGGUGAUGGCCUACCAAGGCGGUGACGGGUAGCCGGCCUGAGAGGGUGGACGGUCACACUGGGACGGAGACACGGCCCAGACUCCUACGGGAGGCAGCAGUGGGGAAUAUUGCACAAUGGGCGCAAGCCUGAUGCAGCGACGCCGCGUGAGGGAUGGAGGCCUGCGGGUUGUGAACCUCUUUCGCCAGUGAAGCAGGCCUGCCUCGUUUGUGGGUGGGUUGACGGUAGCUGGAUAAGAAGCGCCGGCUAACUACGUG